RNAcentral lists this transfer RNA (72 nucleotides) under Camelus bactrianus (Bactrian camel). It matches the Rfam family "tRNA". Rfam says of the family: Transfer RNA (tRNA) molecules are approximately 80 nucleotides in length. The record is from Rfam by way of RNAcentral. RNAcentral also lists the same sequence under 2 other names. Lineage: Eukaryota; Metazoa; Chordata; Mammalia; Artiodactyla; Camelidae.
GAGGGUCUAGCUUAGAGGUAGAGCGCGUGCUUAGCAUGCCCGGGGUCCUGGGUUCCAUCCCCAGCACCUCCA